This is a small nuclear RNA of Amazona collaria (yellow-billed parrot), 177 nucleotides long. Its record names the gene U2. It matches the Rfam family "U2 spliceosomal RNA". From Rfam's summary of the family: U2 is a small nuclear RNA (snRNA) component of the spliceosome (involved in pre-mRNA splicing). Complementary binding between U2 snRNA (in an area lying towards the 5' end but 3' to hairpin I) and the branchpoint sequence (BPS) of the intron results the bulging out of an unpaired adenosine, on the BPS, which initiates a nucleophilic attack at the intronic 5' splice site, thus starting the first of two transesterification reactions that mediate splicing. Lineage: Eukaryota; Metazoa; Chordata; Aves; Psittaciformes; Psittacidae. The record is from Ensembl.
AUUUCCCAGCCUUUUGCCAAGAUCAAGUGCAUCAUCUUUUCUUAUCAUUUUAAUAUAUGAUACAUCCUCAGCUUGAAGAUUUUGUAUUAAAUGCAUUUGGAGGGCAUGGGAAAGAGUAACUGGUUCCUUCAUCCACCCUAUACAUUAACCUGUGCUACCAGGAACCAUGGCCAAACC